UAGCCAUGAUGUGGACAAAUGUUUAAAAGUUCCUUAAACUUCUCCCAACAUUAGAAGAAUGUUUCUUCCUCAUUUUGUGAAAAAUUCAUUAUGGCUCUUCUGAGGGU
Small nucleolar RNA from Magnolia sinica, 107 nucleotides. NCBI's taxonomy places the organism in Eukaryota, Viridiplantae, Streptophyta, Magnoliopsida, Magnoliales, Magnoliaceae. The record is from RefSeq and is a predicted model, not a curated record.